GGGGUGGUAGUUCAGUGGUUUAGAGCACCUGCCUGUCACGCAGGAAGUCGCGGGUUCAAAUCCCGUCCACCCCGCCA
This 77-nucleotide transfer RNA is filed under the name Candidatus Peregrinibacteria bacterium. RNAcentral's name for it is "tRNA-Asp". It matches the Rfam family "tRNA". From Rfam's summary of the family: Transfer RNA (tRNA) molecules are approximately 80 nucleotides in length. Their secondary structure includes four short double-helical elements and three loops (D, anti-codon, and T loops). Further hydrogen bonds mediate the characteristic L-shaped molecular structure. tRNAs have two regions of fundamental functional importance: the anti-codon, which is responsible for specific mRNA codon recognition, and the 3' end, to which the tRNAs corresponding amino acid is attached (by aminoacyl-tRNA synthetases). tRNAs cope with the degeneracy of the genetic code in two manners: having more than one tRNA (with a specific anti-codon) for a particular amino acid; and 'wobble' base-pairing, i.e. permitting non-standard base-pairing at the 3rd anti-codon position. The record is from RNAcentral. Lineage: Bacteria; Candidatus Peregrinibacteriota.